RNAcentral lists this small RNA (634 nucleotides) under Pongo abelii (Sumatran orangutan). RNAcentral describes it as "retained intron". Lineage: Eukaryota; Metazoa; Chordata; Mammalia; Primates; Hominidae. The record is from RNAcentral.
UGGCGGCGCACAAGUCAGGUCCGGCACAUGUUUCCGCGGAAAGGACCCCGCAAUGACGGAUGAUAUCACCUCUUCUUCUCUGUUGAGAGUCUGAGGAUAGAAACUUUUUUCUCACCAUGAAUGUCACCCCAGAGGUCAAGAGUCGUGGGAUGAAGUUUGCUGAGGAGCAGCUGCUAAAGCAUGGAUGGACUCAAGGCAAAGGCCUCGGCCGGAAGGAGAAUGGUAUCACCCAGGCUCUCAGGGUGACACUGAAGCAAGACACUCAUGGGGUGGGACAUGACCCUGCCAAGGAGUUCACAAACCACUGGUGGAAUGAGCUCUUCAACAAGACUGCGGCCAACUUGGUAGUGGAAACUGGGCAGGAUGGAGUACAGAUAAGGAGCCUUUCUAAGGAGACCACCCGUUAUAAUCAUCCCAAGCCCAACCUGCUGUAUCAGAAGUUUGUGAAGAUGGCUACAUUGACUUCAGGUGGAGAGAAGCCAAACAAAGACUUGGAGAGCUGCAGUGAUGACGACAACCAGGGGCCCAAGUCCCCAAAGAUGUGAGACUUCAUUUUAGCUCUUGGGGAAUGUGGGAGGAGAUGUCCUCAGAUGGCAAGAGAAAGGGCUAAAUCUAAUGCUUGACUGGGGGCUUC